AUUGAACGCUAGCGGGAUGCCUUACACAUGCAAGUCGAACGGAGGGCCGAACGGGUGGGUAAUGUAUCGGAACGUGCCAGGUAGCGGGGGAUAAUUACGGGAAAGCGUAGCAAUAACCGCAUACAUUUGGAGCGGCCGAUAUGGGAUUAGCUAGUUGGUGAGGUAAAGGCUCACCAAGGCGACGAUACAUAGCCGACCUGAGAGGGUGAUCGGCCACACUGGGACUGAGACACGGCCCAGACUCCUACGGGAGGCAGCAGUGGGGAAUUUUGGACAAUGGGGGAAACCCUGAUCCAGCCAUCCCGCGUGUGCGAUGAAGGCCUUCGGGUUGUAAAGCACUUUUGGCAGGAAAGCGGUACCUGCAGAAUAAGCACCGGCUAACUACGUGCCAGCCGCCGCGGUAAUUC
Molecule: ribosomal RNA, 407 nt
Filed under: uncultured bacterium
Lineage: Bacteria
Description: partial 16S ribosomal RNA
Rfam family: Bacterial small subunit ribosomal RNA
Source: RNAcentral